AGAAUGAACGUUGGCGGCGUGGAUUAGGCAUGCAAGUCGAACGGGCCGCAAGGCCAGUGGCGUAAGGGUGAGUAAGGCGACGGUAACCAACCCCAUGACUGGGUAUAGCCGCGGGAAACUGCGGGUAAUCCCCAGCGACGUCCCGGGGGGGCAUCCCCUCAGGACCAAAGCUCCGGCGUCGUGGGACGGGCCGUCGUGGUAUUAGGUAGUUGGCGGGGUAACGGCCCACCAAGCCUGCGAUGCCUACCGGGCGUGCGAGCGUGGCCCGGCACACUGGGACUGAGACACUGCCCAGACUCCUACGGGAGGCUGCAGUCGAGAAUCUUCGGCAAUGGGCGCAAGCCUGACCGAGCGACGCCGCGUGGAGGACGAAGGCCUUCGGGUUGUAAACUCCUGUCGAGGGGGAAGAAGGGCCGUGAGGCCUUGACUGAUCCCUGGAGGAAGCACGGGCUAAGUUCGUGCCAGCAGCCGC
This 472-nucleotide ribosomal RNA is filed under the name uncultured bacterium. Its description in RNAcentral is "SSU rRNA". It matches the Rfam family "Bacterial small subunit ribosomal RNA", at positions 26 to 518 of the family's 1533-position model. The record is from RNAcentral.